GACGGGGGGGGCAAGUGUUCUUCGGAAUGACUGGGCGUAAAGGGCCCGUAGGCGGUGAAUCGGGUUGAAAGUGAAAGUCGCCAAAAAGUGGCGGAAUGCUCUCGAAACCAAUUCACUUGAGUGAGACAGAGGAGAGUGGAAUUUCGUGUGUAGGGGUGAAAUCCGUAGAUCUACGAAGGAACGCCAAAAGCGAAGGCAGCUCUCUGGGUCACUACCGACGCUGGGGUGCGAAAGCAUGGGGAGCGAACAGG
Molecule: ribosomal RNA, 251 nt
Filed under: uncultured bacterium
Lineage: Bacteria
Description: partial 16S ribosomal RNA
Rfam family: Bacterial small subunit ribosomal RNA
Source: RNAcentral